RNAcentral lists this ribosomal RNA (410 nucleotides) under uncultured bacterium. RNAcentral describes it as "bacterial SSU rRNA". It matches the Rfam family "Bacterial small subunit ribosomal RNA", at positions 354 to 776 of the family's 1533-position model. The record is from RNAcentral.
GUGGGGAAUAUUGCGCAAUGGGCGAAAGCCUGACGCAGCGACGCCGCGUGAGGGAUGAAGGCCUUCGGGUUGUAAACCUCUUUCAGCAGGGAAGAAGCGCAAGUGACGGUACCUGCAGAAGAAGCACCGGCUAACUACGUGCCAGCAGCCGCGGUAAUACGUAGGGUGCAAGCGUUGUCCGGAAUUAUUGGGCGUAAAGAGCUCGUAGGCGGUUUGUCGCGUCUGCUGUGAAAACGCGGGGCUCAACUCCGCGCCUGCAGUGGGUACGGGCAGACUAGAGUGCAGUAGGGGAGACUGGAAUUCCUGGUGUAGCGGUGGAAUGCGCAGAUAUCAGGAGGAACACCGGUGGCGAAGGCGGGUCUCUGGGCUGUAACUGACGCUGAGGAGCGAAAGCGUGGGUAGCGAACAGG